GAACGAGUUAUAGUCACCUUCGGCGAACGAUAACGGCGUCGAGCGGCGGACGGGUGAGUAAUGCCUAGGAAAUUGCCCUGAUGUGGGGGAUAACCAUUGGAAACGAUGGCUAAUACCGCAUAAUGCCUACGGGCCAAAGAGGGGCAGCUUCGGGCCUCUCGCGUCAGGAUAUGCCUAGGUGGGAUUAGCUAGUUGGUCAGGUAAGGGCUCACCAAGGCGACGAUCCCUAGCUGGUCUGAGAGGAUGAUCAGCCACACUGGAAGUGAGACACGGUCCAGACUCCUACGGGAGGCAGCAGUGGGGAAUAUUGCACAAUGGGCGCAAGCCUGAACGUGCCAUGCCGCGUGUGUGAAGAAGGCCUUCGGGUUGUAAAGCACUUUCAGUCGUGAGGA
RNAcentral lists this ribosomal RNA (392 nucleotides) under Vibrio harveyi. Its description in RNAcentral is "bacterial SSU rRNA". It matches the Rfam family "Bacterial small subunit ribosomal RNA", at positions 64 to 448 of the family's 1533-position model. The record is from RNAcentral. Lineage: Bacteria; Pseudomonadati; Pseudomonadota; Gammaproteobacteria; Vibrionales; Vibrionaceae.